RNAcentral lists this transfer RNA (83 nucleotides) under Flavobacterium sp. 81. RNAcentral's name for it is "tRNA-Leu". It matches the Rfam family "tRNA". Rfam says of the family: Transfer RNA (tRNA) molecules are approximately 80 nucleotides in length. Their secondary structure includes four short double-helical elements and three loops (D, anti-codon, and T loops). Further hydrogen bonds mediate the characteristic L-shaped molecular structure. tRNAs have two regions of fundamental functional importance: the anti-codon, which is responsible for specific mRNA codon recognition, and the 3' end, to which the tRNAs corresponding amino acid is attached (by aminoacyl-tRNA synthetases). tRNAs cope with the degeneracy of the genetic code in two manners: having more than one tRNA (with a specific anti-codon) for a particular amino acid; and 'wobble' base-pairing, i.e. permitting non-standard base-pairing at the 3rd anti-codon position. RNAcentral also lists the same sequence under 1 other name. Lineage: Bacteria; Pseudomonadati; Bacteroidota; Flavobacteriia; Flavobacteriales; Flavobacteriaceae. The record is from RNAcentral.
GUCCACGUGGAGAAACGGCAGACUUGCCACCUUGAGAUGGUGGUGCUCGUAAAGACGUGUGGGUUCAAAUCCCACCGUGGUCA